AACGAACGCUGGCGGCAGGCCUAACACAUGCAAGUCGAACGCCCUAGCAAUAGGGAGUGGCAGACGGGUGAGUAACACGUGGGAACCUUCCCUAUAGUAUGGAAUAGCCCAGGGAAACUUGGAGUAAUACCGUAUACGCCCGAGAGGGGAAAGAUUUAUCGCUAUAGGAUGGGCCCGCGUAGGAUUAGCUAGUUGGUGAGGUAAUGGCUCACCAAGGCGACGAUCCUUAGCUGGUCUGAGAGGACGACCAGCCACAAUGGGACUGAGACACGGCCCAUACUCCUACGGGAGGCAGCAGUGGGGAAUUUUACGCAAUGGGCGAAAGCCUGACGUAGCGACACCGCGUGAGGGAAGAAGGCCUUCGGGUUGUAAACCUCUGUCAUGGGGGAAGAAGGAAGUGACGGUACCCAAGAGGAAGCCCCUGCUAACUACGUG
Molecule: ribosomal RNA, 435 nt
Filed under: uncultured bacterium
Lineage: Bacteria
Description: bacterial SSU rRNA
Rfam family: Bacterial small subunit ribosomal RNA
Source: RNAcentral